RNAcentral lists this transfer RNA (76 nucleotides) under Acidobacteriota bacterium. RNAcentral describes it as "Acidobacteria bacterium tRNA-Arg". It matches the Rfam family "tRNA". Rfam says of the family: Transfer RNA (tRNA) molecules are approximately 80 nucleotides in length. Their secondary structure includes four short double-helical elements and three loops (D, anti-codon, and T loops). The record is from RNAcentral. Lineage: Bacteria; Pseudomonadati; Acidobacteriota.
GUUUGCGUAGCUUAUGCUGUGGAGCGUCUGGCUACGAACCAGAAGGUCGGGAGUUCGAAUCUCUCCGGGCGCGCCA